ACAGCCUUACCACAUUGAAAACACUGGUUCUUGUUCAAUCACUGAAGUUAAGCAAUGUCGGGCCUGGUCAGCACUUAGGAGGGUGACCACUUGGUGUCAGCAGCC
Molecule: non-coding RNA, 105 nt
Organism: Cordylochernes scorpioides
Lineage: Eukaryota; Metazoa; Arthropoda; Arachnida; Pseudoscorpiones; Chernetidae
Source: the annotation of a GenBank genome assembly